GCAAGUUGUUCUUGGCUAGC
Molecule: microRNA, 20 nt
Filed under: Aegilops tauschii
Lineage: Eukaryota; Viridiplantae; Streptophyta; Magnoliopsida; Poales; Poaceae
Description: ata-miR169h-3p
Gene: ata-miR169h-3p
Source: miRBase by way of RNAcentral